AACGAACGCUGGCGGCAGGCUUAACACAUGCAAGUCGAACGCAUCCUUCGGGGUGAGUGGCAGAGGGGUGAGUAACGCGUGGGAACGUGCCCUUCAGUUCGGGAUAACCCAGGGAAACUUGGGCUAAUACCGGAUACGUGCGAGAGCAGAAAGAUUUAUCGCUGAAGGAUCGGCCCGCGUCUGAUUAGCUAGUUGGUGGGGUAAUGGCCCACCAAGGCGACGAUCAGUAGCUGGUCUGAGAGGAUGAUCAGCCACAUUGGGACUGAGACACGGCCCAAACUCCUACGGGAGGCAGCAGUGGGGAAUAUUGGACAAUGGGCGCAAGCCUGAUCCAGCCAUGCCGCGUGAGUGAUGAAGGCCUUAGGGUUGUAAAGCUCUUUCGUCCGGGACGAUAAUGACGGUACCGGAAGAAGAAGCCCCGGCUAACUCCGUGCCAGCCGCCGCUGUAA
This 449-nucleotide ribosomal RNA is filed under the name uncultured bacterium. RNAcentral describes it as "partial 16S ribosomal RNA". It matches the Rfam family "Bacterial small subunit ribosomal RNA", at positions 29 to 523 of the family's 1533-position model. The record is from RNAcentral.